CCUACGGGCGGCAGCAGUGAGGAAUAUUGGUCAAUGGGAGAGAUCCUGAACCAGCCAAGCCGCGUGAGGGAAGACGGCCCUAUGGGUUGUAAACCUCUUUUGUCGGAGAACAAAACCAGGGACGUGUCCCGGACUGCGUGUAUCCGAAGAAAAAGCAUCGGCUAACUCCGUGCCAGCAGCCGCGGUAAUACGGAGGAUGCGAGCGUUAUCCGGAUUUAUUGGGUUUAAAGGGUUCGUAGGCGGUCCGUUAAGUCAGCGGGAAAAUUGCGGGGCUCAACCCCGUCGAGCCGUUGAGACUGGCAGACUUGAGUUGGCGAGAAGUACGCGGAAUGCGCGGUGUAGCGGUGAAAUGCAUAGAUAUCGCGCAGAACUCCGAUUGCGAAGGCAGCGUACCGGCGCCAGACUGACGCUGAGGCACGAAAGCGUGGGGAUCGAACAGGAUUAGAUACCCCAGUAGUC
RNAcentral lists this ribosomal RNA (459 nucleotides) under uncultured bacterium. RNAcentral describes it as "partial 16S ribosomal RNA". It matches the Rfam family "Bacterial small subunit ribosomal RNA", at positions 338 to 795 of the family's 1533-position model. The record is from RNAcentral.